RNAcentral lists this ribosomal RNA (661 nucleotides) under uncultured bacterium. RNAcentral describes it as "bacterial SSU rRNA". It matches the Rfam family "Bacterial small subunit ribosomal RNA", at positions 83 to 740 of the family's 1533-position model. The record is from RNAcentral.
GUCUGGCGGCGAGUGGCGAACGGGUGAGUAAUAUAUCGGAACGUGCCCAGUAGCGGGGGAUAACUACUCGAAAGAGUAGCUAAUACCGCAUACGCCCUACGGGGGAAAGGGGGGGAUCGCAAGACCUCUCACUAUUGGAGCGGCCGAUAUCGGAUUAGCUAGUUGGUGGGGUAAAGGCCCACCAAGGCGACGAUCCGUAGCUGGUUUGAGAGGACGACCAGCCACACUGGGACUGAGACACGGCCCAGACUCCUACGGGAGGCAGCAGUGGGGAAUUUUGGACAAUGGGGGAAACCCUGAUCCAGCCAUUCCGCGUGUGCGAUGAAGGCCUUCGGGUUGUAAAGCACUUUUGGCAGGAAAGAAAUCGCGCAAAUUAAUACUUUGCGUGGAUGACGGUACCUGCAGAAUAAGCACCGGCUAACUACGUGCCAGCAGCCGCGGUAAUACGUAGGGUGCAAGCGUUAAUCGGAAUUACUGGGCGUAAAGCGUGCGCAGGCGGUUCGGAAAGAGAGGUGUGAAAUCCCAGGGCUUAACCUUGGAACUGCACUUUUAACUCCCGAGCUAGAGUAUGUCAGAGGGGGGUGGAAUUCCGCGUGUAGCAGUGAAAUGCGUAGAUAUGCGGAGGAACACCGAUGGCGAAGGCAGCCCCCUGGGAUAAUAC